RNAcentral lists this ribosomal RNA (498 nucleotides) under fungal sp. 831 YZ-2011. Its description in RNAcentral is "eukaryotic LSU rRNA". The stretch from base 156 to 309 matches the Rfam family "5.8S ribosomal RNA". Lineage: Eukaryota; Fungi. The record is from RNAcentral.
CCGCAAGGCCUCCUGGGUAACCUACCACCCUUUGUUUAUUACACUUUGUUGCUUUGGCAAGCCUGCCCUCGGGCUGCUGGCUCCGGCCGGCGAGCGCUUGCCAGAGGACCUAAACUCUGUUUGUCUAUACUGUCUGAGUACUAUAUAAUAGUUAAAACUUUCAACAACGGAUCUCUUGGUUCUGGCAUCGAUGAAGAACGCAGCGAAAUGCGAUAAGUAAUGUGAAUUGCAGAAUUCAGUGAAUCAUCGAAUCUUUGAACGCACAUUGCGCCCCCUGGUAUUCCGGGGGGCAUGCCUGUCCGAGCGUCAUUACAACCCUCAAGCUCAGCUUGGUAUUGGGCCCCGCCGACCCGGCGGGCCCUAAAGUCAGUGGCGGUGCCGUCCGGCUCCGAGCGUAGUAAUUCUUCUCGCUCUGGAGGUCCGGUCGUGUGCUCGCCAGCAACCCCCAAUUUUUUUCAGGUUGACCUCGGAUCAGGUAGGGAUACCCGCUGAACUUAA